This 495-nucleotide ribosomal RNA is filed under the name uncultured bacterium. RNAcentral's name for it is "partial 16S ribosomal RNA". It matches the Rfam family "Bacterial small subunit ribosomal RNA", at positions 28 to 505 of the family's 1533-position model. The record is from RNAcentral.
GACGAACGCUGGCGGCGUGCCUAAUACAUGCAAGUUGAGCGCUGAAGGUUGGUACUUGUACCAACUGGAUGAGCAGCGAACGGGUGAGUAACGCGUGGGGAAUCUGCCUUUGAGCGGGGGACAACAUUUGGAAACGAAUGCUAAUACCGCAUAAAAACUUUAAACACAAGUUUUAAGUUUGAAAGAUGCAAUUGCAUCACUCAAAGAUGAUCCCGCGUUGUAUUAGCUAGUUGGUGAGGUAAAGGCUCACCAAGGCGAUGAUACAUAGCCGACCUGAGAGGGGGAUCGGCACCAUUGGGACUGAGACACGGCCCAAACUCCUACGGGAGGCAGCAGUAGGGAAUCUUCGGCAAUGGACGAAAGUCUGACCGAGCAACGCCGCGUGAGUGAAGAAGGUUUUCGGAUCGUAAAACUCUGUUGGUAGAGAAGAACGUUGGUGAGAGUGGAAAGCUCAUCAAGUGACGGUAACUACCCAGAAAGGGACGGCUAACUACG